This 490-nucleotide ribosomal RNA is filed under the name uncultured bacterium. RNAcentral describes it as "partial 16S ribosomal RNA". It matches the Rfam family "Bacterial small subunit ribosomal RNA", at positions 28 to 507 of the family's 1533-position model. The record is from RNAcentral.
GAUGAACGCUAGCUACAGGCUUAACACAUGCAAGUCGCGGGGCAGCAUGGUGGUUGCUUGCAAUCCUCGAGGGCAACGGGGGCACGGUUGAGUAACGCGUUUCCAACUUGCUUUUAACGACGGGUUAAACCGGCGAAAGUGUGACUAUUACCGUAUGUUGUAUAUUAAGCGCAUUCGAUGUUGGCAAAUGGUGUGGCUGUGAGAUGUGGGUGUGCGUUAGUAUAGCUGGGGGGCGGGGUGACGGCACACCGUGGCGACGAUCGAUAGGGGUUCUGAGAGGUAGGUCCCCCACACUGGUACUGAGACACGGACCAGACUCCUACGGGAGGCAGCAGUGAGGAAUAUUAGUCAAUGGGCGUAAGCCUGAACCAGCCAAGUAGCGUGCAGGAUGACGGCUCUAUGGGUUGUAAACUGCUUUUAUGCGGGGAUAAAGUGAGCUACGUGUAGGUUUUUGCAAGUACCGCAUGAAUAAGGACCGGCUAAUUCCGUG